This 75-nucleotide transfer RNA is filed under the name Oscillibacter sp. RNAcentral's name for it is "tRNA-Ala". It matches the Rfam family "tRNA". Rfam says of the family: Transfer RNA (tRNA) molecules are approximately 80 nucleotides in length. Their secondary structure includes four short double-helical elements and three loops (D, anti-codon, and T loops). The record is from RNAcentral. Lineage: Bacteria; Bacillati; Bacillota; Clostridia; Eubacteriales; Oscillospiraceae.
GGAGUAUAGCUACUGUGGGAGAGCGCUUGAAUGGCAUUCAAGAGGUCAGCGGUUCGAUCCCGCUUAUCUCCACCA